RNAcentral lists this ribosomal RNA (367 nucleotides) under uncultured Glomeromycotina. Its description in RNAcentral is "LSU rRNA". The record is from RNAcentral. Lineage: Eukaryota; Fungi; Glomeromycota.
UUGAAAGGGAAACGAUUGAAGUCAGUCGUGCUGGCGCGAAAUCAACCCCCUCAUCGGGAGACCCAUGUUGUGGCGAGCCUCAAAACCGCCACGGCAUGUGUCUCACGAUGAGGGGGAGCACUUUCGUGUCCGCUGGUUAACAUCAAUUUCGAACGUCAUAAAAAGGUUGGAGGGAUGUGGCUCCUUCGGGAGUGUUAUAACCUUUAGCGGAAUGUGGUGUUCGGGAUUGAGGAUUGCAACGAAUACCUUUAGGGCUGUUCCACCUGGCUUCUCUUUGGUAUCCUGGUGACGACAGCUUGCUGACGUUGUUAGGAUUCGCCUUUGAACAGGCUAGAGUGUGAGCAAAUUCGUUAAGGAUGUUGACGUA